Molecule: ribosomal RNA, 448 nt
Filed under: Acetobacteraceae bacterium L536_HBm
Lineage: Bacteria; Pseudomonadati; Pseudomonadota; Alphaproteobacteria; Acetobacterales; Acetobacteraceae
Description: bacterial SSU rRNA
Rfam family: Bacterial small subunit ribosomal RNA
Source: RNAcentral
AUNGACNGGGGCCCGCACAAGNCGGUGGAGCAUGUGGUUUAAUUCGAAGCAACGCGCAGAACCUUACCAGGACUUGACAUGGGUAGGACUGGCACAGAGAUGUGUNNUCCCCGCAAGGGGCCUACUGCACAGGUGCUGCAUGGCUGUCGUCAGCUCGUGUCGUGAGAUGUUGGGUUAAGUCCCGCAACGAGCGCAACCCUUACCUUUAGUUGCCAUCAUUUAGUUGGGCACUCUAGAGGGACUGCCGNUGACAAGGCCGGAGGAAGGUGGGGAUGACGUCAAGUCCUCAUGGCCCUUAUGUCCUGGGCUACACACGUGCUACAAUGGUGGUGACAGUGGGAAGCUAUGUGGCGACACAAUGCCGAUCUCUAAAAGCCAUCUCAGUUCAGAUUGUACUCUGCAACUCGAGUACAUGAAGGUGGAAUCGCUAGUAAUCGCGGAUCAGCAU